UAGGGAAUCUUCGGCAAUGGACGAAAGUCUGACCGAGCAACGCCGCGUGCGUGAAGAAGGUUUUCGGAUCGUAAAACUCUGUUGUUAGAGAAGAACAAGGACGUUAGUAACUGAACGUCCCCUGACGGUAUCUAACCAGAAAGCCACGGCUAACUACGUGCCAGCAGCCGCGGUAAUACGUAGGUGGCAAGCGUUGUCCGGAUUUAUUGGGCGUAAAGCGAGCGCAGGCGGUUUCUUAAGUCUGAUGUGAAAGCCCCCGGCUCAACCGGGGAGGGUCAUUGGAAACUGGGAGACUUGAGUGCAGAAGAGGAGAGUGGAAUUCCAUGUGUAGCGGUGAAAUGCGUAGAUAUAUGGAGGAACACCAGUGGCGAAGGCGGCUCUCGGGUCUGUAACUGGCGCUGAGGCUCGAAAGCGUGGGGAGCAAACAGG
Molecule: ribosomal RNA, 429 nt
Filed under: Gemmatimonadota bacterium
Lineage: Bacteria; Pseudomonadati; Gemmatimonadota
Description: Gemmatimonadetes bacterium partial 16S ribosomal RNA
Rfam family: Bacterial small subunit ribosomal RNA
Source: RNAcentral